This is a ribosomal RNA of 526 nucleotides. It matches the Rfam family "Bacterial large subunit ribosomal RNA", at positions 1847 to 2571 of the family's 2925-position model.
AAGAGGUCCCGCCUGCCCUGUGACUACAUGUUCAACGGCCGCGGUAUUUUGACCGUGCAAAGGUAGCGCAAUCACUUGUCUUUUAAAUGGAGACCUGUAUGAAUGGCACCACGAGGGCUUAACUGUCUCCUUUUCCAAGUCAAUGAAAUUGAUCUUCCCGUGCAGAAGCGGGAAUAAACCCAUAAGACGAGAAGACCCUAUGGAGCUUUAGACACUAAAACAGCCCAUGUUAAAGCCCUUGUUCAAAAGACUAAACUGAGUGGCCCCUGUCCUAAUGUCUUCGGUUGGGGCGACCAUGGGGAAACAAAAAACCCCCACGUGGACUAGAAAUACCCUCUUUCCAAAACUCAGAGCUACGGCUCUAAGUAACAAAAAAUUUGACCUUUAAGAUCCGGCAAAGCCGAUCAACGGACCAAGUUACCCUAGGGAUAACAGCGCAAUCCUCUUCAAGAGCCCUUAUCGACGAGAGGGUUUACGACCUCGAUGUUGGAUCAGGACAUCCUAAUGGUGCAGCCGCUAUUAAGGG